CUACGGGGGGCAGCAGUGGGGAAUAUUGGACAAUGGGGGAAACCCUGAUCCAGCAAUGCCGCGUGUGUGAAGAAGGCCUGCGGGUUGUAAAGCACUUUCGGUUGGGAGGACUGCUUCUAGCACUAAUAUUGUUGGAAGUUGACGUUACCUUCAGAAGAAGCACCGGCUAACUCCGUGCCAGCAGCCGCGGUAAUGACGGAGGGUGCAAGCGUUAAUCGGAAUUACUGGACGUAAAGCGCGCGUAGGCGGCUAGAUCAGUCGGGUGUGAAAGCCCCGGGCUUAACCUGGGAACUGCAUCCGAUACUGUCUAGCUUGAGUACAGGAGAGGAGAGUGGAAUUCCACAUGUAGCGGUGAAAUGCGUAGAUAUGUGGAGGAACACCAAUGGCGAAGGCAGCUCUCUGGCCUGAUACUGACGCUGAGGUGCGAAAGCGUGGGGAGCAAACAGGAUUAGAUACCCUCGUAGUC
Molecule: ribosomal RNA, 466 nt
Filed under: uncultured bacterium
Lineage: Bacteria
Description: partial 16S ribosomal RNA
Rfam family: Bacterial small subunit ribosomal RNA
Source: RNAcentral